CCAUGCCGCGUGUGUGAAGAAGGCCUUCGGGUUGUAAAGCACUUUCAGUAGGGAGGAAGGUAGUGUAGUUAACACCUGCACUAUUUCGACGUUACCUACAGAAGAAGCACCGGCUAACUCCGUGCCAGCAGCCGCGGUAAUACGGAGGGUGCGAGCGUUAAUCGGAAUUACUGGGCGUAAAGCGCAUGCAGGCGGCCUGUUAAGUCAGAUGUGAAAGCCCGGGGCUUAACCUCGGAAUUGCAUUUGAAACUGGCAGGCUAGAGUCUUGUAGAGGGGGUAGAAUUUCAGGUGUAGCGGUGAAAAUGCGUAGAGAUCUGAAGGAAUACCAGUGGCGAAGGCGGCCCCCUGGACAAAGACUGACGCUCAGAUGCGAAAGCGUCGGGGAGCAAACAGGAUUAGAUACCCUGGUAG
RNAcentral lists this ribosomal RNA (411 nucleotides) under uncultured bacterium. Its description in RNAcentral is "bacterial SSU rRNA". It matches the Rfam family "Bacterial small subunit ribosomal RNA", at positions 392 to 793 of the family's 1533-position model. The record is from RNAcentral.